UGGUUCAGGUCUGGGGUCGCUUCUUCUGGAGCGUCUCUCUGUUGACUACGGAAAGAAGUCAAAACUUGGUUUCACAAUUUACCCUUCACCACAGGUCUCAACUUCUGUUGUUGAGCCUUACAACAGUGUCCUCUCAACUCAUUCCCUCCUUGAGCACACUGAUGUUUCCAUCCUUCUGGACAACGAAGCCAUUUAUGACAUUUGCAGGCGCUCACUGGACAUUGAGCGCCCUACUUACACCAACCUUAACCGCCUUAUCUCACUUGAUGUUUCCAUCCUUCUGGACAAUGAAGCCAUUUAUGACAUUUACAGGCGCUCACUGGACAUUGAGCGCCUUACUUACACCAACCUUAACCGCCUUAUCUCACAGGUUAUCUCCUCACUCACAGCAUCUUUGAGGUUUGAUGGUUCUUUAAAUGUUGAUGUGAACGAAUUCCAGACCAAUCUUGUGCCAUAUCCCAGGAUCCAUUUUAUGC
This 476-nucleotide long non-coding RNA is filed under the name Nicotiana benthamiana. RNAcentral's name for it is "long non-coding RNA (NBEN_LNC029865)". The record is from RNAcentral. Lineage: Eukaryota; Viridiplantae; Streptophyta; Magnoliopsida; Solanales; Solanaceae.